This 350-nucleotide unclassified non-coding RNA is filed under the name Hevea brasiliensis (rubber tree). The record is from RNAcentral. Lineage: Eukaryota; Viridiplantae; Streptophyta; Magnoliopsida; Malpighiales; Euphorbiaceae.
ACAGCUCAAAGGGCUUUAGUUAGGCAGGCAGAUUAUGUUUUUCCAGUUCGUACAUAUUCUUCUCCUUUCCAACAUUCCAAGUUCCAUUCCUUUCUCUUAUUGCUUGAUCCUCUGUUGAUUUUCUUUGUGGUUAUGACUAGUUCCUCAAACUGGAGACCAACAGGCAAUUUCGCCUACACGAGUUGUAGUUCUUUGCUCAUUCCUCUUGAGCUUUGGUUACAAGUAACAACAUUCCUUUAUCAUUCACUUCUGCUCCAUUUCAGUGCACGAAUUAAACCUUGUUAUUGGGUAUGAGAGUCUAAAGGACAUGGACCACUCUCAAAAGAAAGAUGGUGGUGGAAUGAGGAAGU